RNAcentral lists this ribosomal RNA (468 nucleotides) under uncultured bacterium. RNAcentral's name for it is "partial 16S ribosomal RNA". It matches the Rfam family "Bacterial small subunit ribosomal RNA", at positions 28 to 507 of the family's 1533-position model. The record is from RNAcentral.
GACGAACGCUGGCGGCGUGCUUAACACAUGCAAGUCGAACGGAAAGGCCCUGCUUUUGUGGGGUGCUCGAGUGGCGAACGGGUGAGUAACACGUGAGUAACCUGCCCUUGACUUUGGGAUAACUUCAGGAAACUGGGGCUAAUACCGGAUAGGAGCUCCUGCUGCAUGGUGGGGGUUGGAAAGUUUCGGCGGUUGGGGAUGGACUCGCGGCUUAUCAGCUUGUUGGUGGGGUAGUGGCUUACCAAGGCUUUGACGGGUAGCCGGCCUGAGAGGGUGACCGGCCACAUUGGGACUGAGAUACGGCCCAGACUCCUACGGGAGGCAGCAGUGGGGAAUAUUGCACAAUGGGCGGAGGCCUGAUGCAGCAACGCCGCGUGCGGGAUGACGGCCUUCGGGUUGUAAGCCGCUUUCGCCUGUGACGAAGCGUGAGUGACGGUAAUGGGUAAAGAAGCACCGGCUAACUACGUG